AGAACGAACGCUGGCGGCAGGCCUCAAACAUGCAAGUCUAGGGGGUGUAGCAAUACAUCACCGGCGGACGGGUGCGUAACACGUGGGAAUAUACCUUUUGGUUCGGAACAACGCAGGGAAACUUGCGCUAAUACCGAAUGUGCCCUUACGGGGAAAGAUUUAUCGCCAAAGGAUUAGCACGCGUAGGAUUAGCUAGUUGGUGAGGUAAUGGCUCACCAAGGCUCCGAUCCUUAGCUGUUCUGAGAGGAAGAUCAGCCACACUGGGACUGAGACACGGCCCAGACUCCUACGGGAGGCAGCAGUUGGGAAUCUGGACAAUGGGGGAAACCCUGAUCCAGCCAUGCCGCGUGAGUGAUGAAGGCCUUCGGGUUGUAAAACUCUUUCGACGGGACGAUAAUGACGGUACCCGUAGAAGAAGCUCCGGCUAACUUCGCGCCAGCAGCCGC
This 446-nucleotide ribosomal RNA is filed under the name uncultured bacterium. Its description in RNAcentral is "SSU rRNA". It matches the Rfam family "Bacterial small subunit ribosomal RNA", at positions 26 to 518 of the family's 1533-position model. The record is from RNAcentral.